AGGUGUCCUGUUUCUUAAAGAUAAGCAGAGUUAAAGCUGGGUAGAAAUUCAGCUAUGUCAUAUUACCAUUAAACUGUGUAACAAAUUCCUCCUUUUCUCUACAUUUACUCCUCAUUCUUGAGGGGUAUGAAGGGAUGAAGGUCCAUCUUCUAUAACUUCUUUAAGCUGAAUCCAGCACAACAGGAAGUGUUGGUGACUACACACACCCUACCUUGUUCUGCCAAGAGGUCAUCAAGAGCCGGAUGGUUAUAACGCACGAUAUUGGCUAGGGUAGACUCUGGAUGAAACAAGGUGACUCCAAGAGCAAAGCUUAGAAUACCUGAAUACCUGCAAGCAAGACAAGUAGAUUAAGUCCUGACAGAAAAGUAUACGCGGGCCCAAGCUAUUUUUAGCCUCUGUGGACAGCUCCAUAGGGAGAAUGAACUAUUCGUCAACGUCACCCAUAUUUUACUGAAGAUUUUGAAGGUAUUCCAAUGUGACUGACUACUACGUUUCCUCACAUGUGUGCUGCUGUAUCUGAGAUCACCAUGUUUUCAAUUAUCUCAUAUGAACCUGUUUCUGUUCAGAAAAAAUCCUUCCCUGGUGAUCCUAUUGUGGUAGACAUAAAACUGUGCCACCCAGAUCCCAUUCCAGGGAAGAAUAUGCUGCUGAGCUGUUGGAAGUACAAUCAGUGGAAAACCUUGGUCUGUCAGCAACUUCAAGGUUUGCCUCCUUUGCAGAAAUGGUCCAUUCAAAGUCAUGCCCUUCCUAUAGCAGUCUACAUUCAACCACUGAGUGAGGCAGAAAUAAAAAAGUGCUGAUAAUUUUCAACCUACAAGGGCAUUAAUGAGCAAUACCUGCUCCAGAGCUCCACAGUGGGUUCUCAGAAGAUGUGUCUUGCCUGCAGCACAGCUUGACUCCUUCCACUAUUCAUUUUUUCUUCUUUUCCUUUUACUUCAGAGGCAUUAAAAAUGAAUAAAAAUCUUGAACUCCA
Molecule: long non-coding RNA, 973 nt
Filed under: Homo sapiens (human)
Lineage: Eukaryota; Metazoa; Chordata; Mammalia; Primates; Hominidae
Description: long intergenic non-protein coding RNA 1846
Source: RNAcentral